CUGCCGGACUUUCCGGGGGCCGUAAGUGAAGUGUCGCAAAGCAUAAAGAAGGCGGGAGUGCCAACUCCAAGCCCUGAGCGAUCCCAGGUUGAGGAGGCCGCUAUGGCGAGCCUUCUGCGUGUCGAAAUUCGUGAGAAAUUCCAGGCGGCUCUGGCCCUGUCGCGGGUGGAACUGCAUAAAAACCCAGAGAAAGAGCCGUACAAGUCGAAAUACAGCGCCCGAGCACUGCUGGAAGAGGUCAAGGCGCUGCUCGGCCCAGCGCCUGAGGACGAGGAUGAGCGGCCUCAGGCCGAGGACGGCUUGGGCGAGGGUGACCACGCCCUGGGGCUGCCCACGGAGGUCGUGGAGGCCGAGGGGCCCGUCGCCCAGCGGGCGGUGAGGCUGGCGGUGAUCGAGUUCCACCUGGGGGUGAACCACAUCGACACGGAGGAGCUGUCGGCGGGGGAGGAGCACCUGGUGAAGUGCCUGAGACUGCUGCGCAGGUACCGGCUCUCGCACGACUGCAUCUCGCUGUACAUCCAGGCGCAGGUGAGAGCAAGCGAGCGAGCGAUCCGGGCCGCCGCUGUGCUGCCAGCACUGGCCCCGGGGGGACCGCAAAAGGCGAGGGGGGGGAGGAGCUCCCGCGGUGGCCAUGACCGAGGGUGGGCAGGGGUCUUUAGACGCCGUUUCCUCCCAUGUUUUUGAAGCUUUGGGAUGAGUCCCAGACAGGAGCUUUUUGGCCUUCAAGAAACUCUUAAGGAUUUAUUGCGUUGUAUCUAGAUCUCCCACCGUCGGCAUCCAAACUCCUCUCCACCCCCAUCGUCCACUCAUCAUUUAUUUGCUACUUAAUUGUGGGCAAAGCAUCGGUUUCUAAAACCCCUUCAUUGUAAUGCGUUUUUUUUUUUAAACUCUCGAGUUUUUGUUUUCGUUCAACUAAGAAAAAAUCCGAAUUAACUUAUUAUUUACUUAUUUGUUUAUUUUAAAUUGUGCUACUAGGGAUUGAAUCCAGGAGCUUUUAUCACUGAGCUACAUCCCCAGUCCGCCUUCCCUUUUUUAUUUUAUUUUAUUUUUUUAUUUUGAGGCAAGAACUCACCAAGUUGUUGAGACUUAACUUUGAACUUGCUAUUCUCCUGCCUCAGCCUCCCACGUCGCUAGGAUUACAGGUGUAUACACCACCAUUCCUGGCUCCAAAGUAAUUUAAAUCUUAAACUCUUCUCGCCAGGCACCGUGCACACACCUGUAAUCCCAGCGACUCUGGCGGCUGUUGCAGGAGAAUCCCAAAUUCAAAGCCAGCCUCUGUAAUUUAGGCCCUAAGUAACUUAGACCUUAUCUCAAAAUAAAAAAUAAAAAAGGCUGGGGGUGUGGUUCAGUGGUUAAGCACCUCUGGGUUCACCCCCUAUACCAAAAUCAUCAUCAUCAUCAUCAUAUUUGUUCUAAUUAGUUAUGCAUGAUAGUAGAUACAGUUAUACAUGAUUCAUUGUACACAAAUGGAGCAAACUCUUCCUUUCUCUGGUUUUACAUGAUGUAGAGUCACACCACAUGUACAGUCAUACAUGUACCUAGGGUAAUGAUUCCAUCUCAUUCCACCAUUGUUCCUGCCCCCAUGCCCCCUUCCCUUCCCUCUCUCCCCUUUGCCAAAUCAGAGUUUCUCCAUUCUCCCUACUCCGCCUCCCCAUUAUGGAUCAGCAUCCACUUAUCAAAGAGAACAUUCAGCUUUUAGUUUUUUGGGAUUGGCUUACUUUGCUUAGCAUUAUAUUCUCCAUUUCCAUCCAUUUACCUGCAAAUGCCAUAAUUUUAUUAAAAAUAUGGAAUGCUUCACGAAUUCCAUGUUAAUUAACAUGCGCAGUGGCCAUUUUAAUCUUCUCUGUAUCAUUUCAAUAUGUACUGCUGAAGGGAGCCCCAGAGUUCUGCUCUUAAUUCAAAACAAGGGCUGGGGAUGUGGCUCAAGCGGUAACGCGCUCGCCUGGCAUGCGUGCGGCCCGGGUUCAAUCCUCAGCACCACAUACAAACAAAGAUGUUGUGUCUGCCAAUAACUAAAAAAUAAAUACUAAAAAAAAAUCUCUCUCUAAAAAAAAAAAAAAAUUCAAAACAAAAUGUCAGCCGGUAGUGGUGGUUUGAUGCCUAUAAUCCCAGCUGCUCUGGAGACUGAGGCAGGAAGAGUUCAAAGCCAGCCUCAGCAAAAGCGAGGCCCUAAGCAACUCAGUGAGACCCUGUCUCUAAGUAAAAUACAAAAUAGGGCUGGAUAAUGUGACUCAGCAGUCAAGUGCCCCUGAGUUCAAUCCCAGGUACCCCACCGCCGUCGGUUUCUCCUUACCAUGUUCUCCAAGGAAUUCCUACUCAUUCUUCAGAAUAGAUCUCAAGAAUCACCUCAUUUUAAUAACUUUCUAUGGACCAUUUUUGUCCAAACUUAUCUAUAUUUCAUUUAUUUGGUACAUGGUUUAUUAAGAAAUAAAUCUGAGCCAGGCAUGGUGGCUUGUAUCUAUCUGUAAUCCCAGUGACUCAGGAGGCUGAGGCAGGAAUAUUGCAAGUUCAAAACCAGCCUCAGCAGUUUAAUGAGGCCCUAAGCAACUUUUGAGACUCUGUCUCAAAAUAAAUAAAACAAAAAUAAAAAGGGCUGGGGGAAGAUUCAGUGGUUAAACAUCCCUGGAUUCAAUUCCUAGUACUAUCCACCCACCCCGAUAAAAAGAAGUAACUGCAGAGUGCUGUGAUGCAGGCCUGUAAUCCCAAAGACUUGGGAAGCUGAGGCAGGAGUAUCACAGCAAGUUUGAGGCCAGCUUCAGCAAUUAGCAAGAUAAAUUAAAAAGGAUUGGUAUGUUGCUUAGUAGGAAAGCAUUCUUGGGUUCAAUCCAAUCUCCAGUACCAAAAAAAAAAAAAAAAAAAGUAAAUCAAACAGUUUUUACAUUCUGCAUUGGGAGCAUAACACUUUUAAAAUAUGAAUAUGGGGCUGAGGAUGUAGUUUAAUUCGGUGGCAGAGCCAGUCUCUAGCGUGCACUAAGCCCUGGGUUCUGUCCCAAGCAUCACCAAAAUAAGUAAAAAUGAAAUAAAAUAUAAAUAUGUUCAAACUAGUCACACAUGCAAGGUAUCAGGUACUUUGCAUAGACUUGCAAACCAUUCAUCCAGAAGUUAUAGUUCAUAAUAUUUGUGAUCCAGGAAACAUUUACCACAAUUGAUCAUAUGGUAAGUAGGAUUUAAGAAAAAUAUCAAAGUUUAGAAAGAAGUUGUAUAAGUUAUAUUUUAUUAUGGUCCAGUAAAAUUAAAAGCCAUAUGAUAACAAGGAAUCCACUCUUUUUGUUCACUAUUUAUAGCCCAGUACAUGACAUAUAGUAGGCAUAUUCUAAAUAAUAUUUGAAUGGAUGAAUGAUCUAAUGAAAUUCACAAAACAUUGAAUUGAAACAAAACCUGUUAUUUGAAUUUUCCUCUAACCAUAUAACCUAAAACCUUAAUAAACAUUUAAAACUUGCUUCAAUAUUUCAAACAAAGAAUUAGAAUUAGGAAUCUUCCCUAAUGUAAUAUUAUUAAUAUAUAUUGUAUUUUCUUUUACUUUUUUAUUUAUUAGCAGUACUGGGGGUUGAACCCAGAACUUCACACAUGCUAGGUACGAGCUCUACCACAUCCCAUCUCUUUUUAUUUUUAUUCUGAAACAGAAAUUCAUUAAGUUACCCCUACUGGCCUUGAACUUGGGAUUUUCCUGCCUCAACUUUCCAAGGAGCUGGUAUUCAGGAAUAGCUGAUAUAAGAGGUGUGCAGCACCUAUUUUUCUCUAUUAAAAUUCAUAGGCUCUUUCUUCUCUUCAUGGAUUCCUUGGAGGUCCAUAGGCCCAAGGUUAAGAAUUUCUGCAUUAGAAACUAUUUCUUUAUCCUGUUCCCUCCCCUAGAGAAGUAACAAAGAUGGAAGAAACAGCCUCAGAAAUACCUUGUGUCUAAAGGACUGUCCCAGGGGAUGGGAGUCAGUCUAACCUAAUUGUCUAAAGAGAGCUUUGUCUUCAGUAUUGAGUUCUCAGCAUGUAAACAGUCCAGGUUUGCUUUGUAGAGCCUAAUUAAAAAGGAAUCAUGUAGCAGGAAAUGAAGAAAAUGAUUUUAAAAUGUUAUUUAGGAUAGAAUCCCAAAUCCAGUCAACUCCUUAGCUUUUAUGGUAGGAAAAGUAAGUUGGUGAAAUUAAAAUUAAAAAGCCAUCAAUAUUGAUAGGGUACAAUUACAGAACAUAAAUUUUUUUUAUUUUUGUUCAAAACAUUACAUAGCUCUUGAUAUAUCAUAUUUCAUACAGAACAUAAUUUUUUAAGAACUCUCUGGAAACACAAAAUGCUGUAUUGUUUGAAAUGGUAAACGUUAGAAAUCUGACUUAACUGGUGAGAAAAAGCAUAUAGCAUCUUCAGAAUUUUUUUUUUCCUAUACUGGGAAUUAGAGACAGGGUCUCACUGAGUUGCUUAGCACCUCACUUUUGCUGAGGCUGGCUUUGAACUCAUGAUCCUCCUGCCUCAGCCUCCCACUGGGAUUACAGGUAUAUUUUUUAUUUUGAGGCAGGGUCUCACUAAGUUUCUGAGGCUGUCCUUGAACUUGUAAUUCUCCUGGCUCAGCUUACUGAGUAGUUGGGAUUACAGAUGUGUACCAUUGUGCCCAGCAAGAAUGUUUAAAUAAAUAAAAUAUUUAAGUGAUCUCUGGAGGAAGUUGUAGUAUUUUGAGGUUUUAUUUAUUUAUUUUUUGUUUGUUUGGUUUUUUUUCCUUUGAAAGUAUUGUAUAUUUCUGGUUCAUCUUUGUUUUUGCAGUACUUGGGGAUUGAAUUCAGGGCCUCACUUGUGCUAGGCGAGUGUUCUACCACUGAGCUGCACCACAGCCCUCAGGUUCAUCUUGGUCUCUGUUAUCUUAGGGAUCUUGGCACAGCUUAGCUAAGUAUUCCUCAUCACAUUGUUGACCUGUCAGGGCCCACUUGAAGACGCUUACUAGGGGAAGGGUCUACUUCCAACUUAUUUAUAUGGUUGUUGGCAGAAUUUAAUUCCUCACUGGCUUUUUGUCUGAAUGCUUUAGACUGUGACCUUUCUCAAUCCUUUCCAUAUGCAUUUCUUUUUCUUUUUUUGGUGGUACUAGAGAUUGAACCCGGACACUGUACACUGAGCUACAUCCCCAAAUGUUGGGAUUUUUUUAUGAGUAUUUUUUCUAUUAACAACUUUAUUUUAUAACUUUAUUUAUAUUUUUAUAACUUUAUUUUUAUUUACUUUUUUAUGUGGUGCUGAGGAUCAAACCUAGUACCUCCCCUGUGCUAGGGAAGCACUCUACCACUGAGCUACAGCCCCAGCCCCUCUUGUUUUUUUUUUUUUUAAGUGAGGGUCUCAUUAAGUUGCCAUGGCUGGCCUUGCACAUGUAAUCCUCUUCUUCCACCUCCCAAGUAGCUUGGCCUUCCUGAAAGAGAGCAAGCAAGAAAAAUACAAGAUGGAUGUCACAAUACUUCAAAGCCUAGUCUUAGAAGUAACUUUCCAUCAUUUCUGUUAUAUUCUAUUCAUUAGAAAUAAGUCACUAAAUCCAGUCCAUACUCAAGGAGAAAAGAUUACACAAGGGCAUGAAUAUGAAUACUAGGAGGCAGUGGUCAUUGGGUGUCCAUCUUAAACAGUUGUCCUCUACACUACAUAUGGUUGAUAGUAUUAUGAGUAACUAAUCCAUUGUUAAUCAAACUCCAGUACUAUUUGAUUGGUUAAUUUUGAAACUAUGUAAUUACUUUAAUUGGAAGUCUCAUCAUUGUUUUUCUUUUCUGUAUUUUCCAGAAUAACUUGGGUAUUUUGUGGUCUGAAAGAGAAGAAAUUGAAACUGCACAGGCUUACCUGGAAUCAUCAGAAGCACUAUAUAAUCAAUAUAUGAAAGAGGUAUGUUACAUGUCAUAGUUUUUUAAGUUUUAAUUGAAACUGGCUAAAAAUUGAUUUAAGAAUUCCUCAUUCAAAAUAUUGGUAUGACUUUUUAGUGUAUCCAGGAACUUCUUUAUAAAGCUGUCUGAGAAUCCAUCUAAUAGCUGAAACAUGAUAGUCUUGGGGAUUUAAAAACUAAUCCUUGGGGGGCUGGGGAUGUGGCUCAAGCGGUAGCGCGCUCGCCUGGCAUGCAUGCAGCCCGGGUUCGAUCCUCAGCACCACAUACAAACAAAGAUGAUGUGUCUGCCGGAAACUAAAAAAUAAAUAUUGAAAAACUCUCUCUCUCUCUCCAAAGAUGAUGUGUCCGCCGAAAACUAAAAAAUAAAUAUUAAAAAAAAAAAACAAAAAAACUAAUCCUUGGUUAGUCGGGCUUGGUGCAUGCAUACGUCUAGCUACUCGAGUUAGGAAGUUGGCAAAUUCAAGGUCAGCAUCAGCAAAUUAGGGAGACACCGUUUCAAAAUAAAAAAUAAGAAAGGGCUGGGGAUUUAGCUCAGUGGUAAAAUGCCCCUGGGUUCAAUCCUAAGUACCUCAAAAUCAAUCAAUCAAGAAUAUAAUGGCAAAAUACAAUUAUACAGGAAAUAUUCUAGUAUUAUCCUAAAUACUAUUUGCAUAUUUUUGUAUUUUUAAUCUAAAAAUUCUAUUUGUUUCCACUGCAAAUAGCUGUGCUUAAAGGAAAGCAAACAAGAACUACUUGAGCCAAAUAUCUGAAAUUUUUGAGGUUCUGGUUCUUAGUGGUUAGCAUGCAUAGAAUCACCUGGAGGGCUUAUUAAAACUCAGCAAGUUGAGCUGCCAGUAGUUUGGGGAUGGGGCCUGAGAAUUUUCUUUUUCCAGUGAUUGACCCCAGGGCCAUGUGCUCUACCACUGAGCUGUAUCCCCAACCUAAGAAUUUGCAUUUUUAAUCAGGUCCUCUAUGAUGCUUAUACUGCUAAUCUAAGACCUGUACUUUGAGGCACUGCUUCAGAACGGUAUUUUUUCCAAUAUUUCCUUUUUUUUUUUAAUCUAUGAAAUCUUUCUGAAAUGCAGUAUAUGAAAACUAUUUAAUAAGCAGUUCAAAGUUGGGAAUGGUGAUGUGUGUCUGUAAUUGUAGCUAACGUGGGAGGCUGAGGCAAGAUUCCUUAAGCCCAGGAGUUCAAGACUAGCUUGGGAAAGUUAAUAAGAUCCCCAGCUAAAAAAAAAAAAAAAAAUGCGGGUUAGAAAGGACCCUUCACCCAAUCUACUGCAGAUUCCUUCCUUCCUCCCCAUCAUGGUAGUACAAAUAGAUGCUGUAGGACUUCUAGGGCUCUGGGGAACUUAGGUUGAAAACUCACACUUGAGGAGCUCACAGCCCUGCAAAGGUGAGAAACCACUGUUUCCUAAAUAACCUUUUUUUUUUUUUUUUUUUUAAAGAGAGAGAGAAUUUUUAAUAUUUAUUUUUUAGUUUUCGGCGGACACAACAUCUUUGCUGUAUGUGGUGCUGAGGAUUGAACCCGGGCCGCACGCAUGCCAGGCGAGCGCGCUACCGCUUGAGCCACAUCCCCAGCCCCUAAAUAAACUUUUUAAUAUAAGAAAUUACUAGGCACAAUAUUUUCUGUUGCUUGCUCUUUGUUAGUGAUGUGCUUUAAAAAUCCAUUAAUGGGUUGGAGUUGUGGCUCAGUGGUAGAGUGCUUGCCUGGCAUGUAUGAGGCCCUGGAUUCGAUCCUCAGCACUGCUUAUAAAUAAAUAAAAUAAAAGAUCCAUUGACAAUUAAAAUAAAAAUUUUUAAUAAUCCAUUAGUAAAAAGUUCUUCUUUCAUUGAAGAAUGUACCACAUAAAAGACUAAACAUGCUUAGGAUGUAAUUCAGUGGUCGUUUGCUUGCCUAGCAUGUACAAGGCCCUGGGUUCAAACCCCAACAGGUAAAAAAAAAUUUUACAAAAAUGUGUUUGCUAAAUUCAGCCAUCAGAAUGCUUGACUACCGAAGGGUAUAAAAGUUUCUGAUAACCUAAGUUAGUAAAAUUAUAGUUAGUAGACACAUAGCUUCCAUUUAAGAACUUAUGUGUGUGUGAGCCAGAUGUGGUGGCAUACACCUAUAAUCCCAGUGGUUGAGGAGACUGAGGCAGGAGGCUUGCAAGUUCAAAGCCAGCCUCAGCAACUUAGUGAGGCCAUAAGCAACUUAGUGAGAAUCUGUCUCAAAAUUAAAAAUAAAAAGGGCUAGGGUUGUGGCUCAGCGGUAAAGCACCUCUGGGUUCAAUCUCUGGUACCAAAACAAAAAACAAAAACAUGUAUGUGCAUGCGUGUGCACUACUGGGAAUUGAGCCCAGGGUUGCUCUACCACUGAACUAUAUUCCCAGUUUUUCUAUUUUUUAUUGUGAGGCUGUUCCUCAAACUUGGGACUCUUCUGCCUAGGCUCUCAAGUCAUUAGGAUUACAGGGAUAUGCCAACAUUCCUAAGAAAUUUUAUGUACAGAAAUUCUAAUAGAUUAAUUAUAGUCUUCAAUAAACUUUUGCCUUCUAAAAGUUGGUAGUCUCUUUUUUUAAUUAAAAUACAUUUUAGUUAAUUUUGUUUUUAGGUUAUUUGUGACAUUCCUUUAAAUAACCAGAGAUAUUUUGAGGUUUCUCACAGUUAUGAAUCACUACCUUUUCAAGUUCACUACAUGGUUGCUACAUUCAUUGUAAAUUUUUAUUUUCAUUUUAUUUGACUCAUCAUAAACCUUUGGCAGAGUUGACCAGUCUUCCUUGAAACACUUUUUGUACUUGGUUUCUAGGAGCAUACUGCCCAUUUUUCUUUUAGAUCUUUAAUGUUUCUUCAUUUCCUCAACCUGUGAACACUAGAGUACCCAAAGUUCAGUCCUUGGACCUCCCUCCUUUUUCCAUGUACAUUCAUUACAAAUAUUUUCUGCUGAUGAAUCAUAAAUUUUAUUUAUCUCCAGCUUUACCUAUCUGAUUUUAUACUCUGCCAAUAAGCUUUCUUUAUUAUAUAUUUUUUUUCUCUUUGGGAAUGGGGUCUUGCUGUGUUGCCCAGGCUGACCUAGAAUUCAAAUUCGAGAUCCUCCUGUUUCCCAAGUAACUGGGAUUACAGGUGUACACCGACAUACCAAGCUGACAUUUGCAUUUUUUGUGGAGUAGGCAUUUCUAAGACUACUGUUUGAAAGUAGUUUCUUGAUAAUCUGAUUCCCACCACUACCCAUUUUCUCUUGCUGCAGACACCAAUUUCUUUCAGUUGUUGAAACCUAAAAACUUUGGAGACUUCUCUUUUUCUCAUGCUCUAUCCAAUUGAUCAUCAAAUCUUACUGAUUCACUUUUUUCUUUCUUUCAUUGUUUUUUUUUUUUUGGGGGGGGGGUACUGGGAAUUGAACCCAGAACAACUGGGUUACCGCUGAGCUACAUCUGCAGCCCUUUUUAUUUAUUUUUUAAAUAUUGAGACAGGGUCUCACUAAGUUGCUUAGGGCCUCACUAAAUUGCUGAGGCUGUCAUUGAACUUGCUAUCCUCCUGCCUCAGCUUACUGAGUCACUGGAAUUACAGGUGUGCACCACUGUGCCUGGGUUCCUUUCAUGCUUUAAUCUCACAUUCUCAUACCUGAAAUUGUGUAUAAUAUAAGGAUACCAAGCAUCUAUAGUAUUUUGUUUAAAACUAGUUAAAGUCCCAGUACCAAAAAUGCAAAAACAAACAAAAAAAAAUAAGAAUAGUGUAAAUGUGGAAGCAUAACACAUAGCAAAACUCUAUCUUUGGUUAUACUCCUAUUUGAGUUGAAAAGUGACUGAGUUGACUGUUCGUGUUACAUAUGAAGUGUGAGCCAUAUUGGUGAAGUAGACACAUAAAGUAACACAUUGAUUAAUUCCCUUCAUCUGGAUGGGGAGGAGCUUAUUAAAUAGCCCUCAGAACUGUUGAGGGGAUUUCUGAACUACUUAUCAGUUGUAUCUGCCUUGGCCUUGCUUCCUAUCUUGGUUUUUAUUUUCCUGUGUGAUGCUUCUAGUGUUUAUGUCAAAGUUUAAGAUCUCAUAUUUUAUGGAAAGCAUUGCAGCUUUGGAGUUUAAUGAAUUCAGUUAAAAGCAAGGAUGGGGUCCUGAGGGUGUAGCUCAGUGGUAGAGUGAGAUGUUUAGCCUGUGUGAGGCUUGGGGAUCAGUCCCCAGCAUCAUAAGCAAAACAAAACAAGGUUGAACUUGUAAGAUAGGACUCCCUUCAUAGAAUGAGGCAGAGGUUAGCAGCUCUGCUCUUAUGGAAUACUUAAGAUCAUAUUGUAAAUGAAGGGUCCUGAAGACACCCUUAUAAAGUAGGUACUGAUUUUUCAUUUGUUUGUUUUGAGAUACUGGGGAUUGAACCCAGAGACUUUGCCACUGAACCACACCCCUUUUAAUUUUAUUACUUUUAUUUUUUUAUUUAAUUUAUUUAAAAAUAUUUAUUAGAACAUAACAGCUAUAUAAAAUAGUGUGGUUUAUUUUGACAUUUUCAUAAAUGCAUAUAGUACAGUUUGCUUCAUAAAAACAUGGAAUACUUCAGAAUUUGUGUCUCAUCCUUGCACAGAGAACAUGCUACUCUUCUCUAUAUCAUUCCAGGUUUCAGUAUAUGUGCUGUUGAAAUGAGCACCCUUUUCAUUUGCUAUUUUGAGACAGGGUCUCACUAAAUUGCUGAGACUGGCCUUGAGCUCAAAAUCCUUCUCCUUGGCCUUCCUUAUCACUAUGAUUACAGGCAUGUGCUACCAUGCCCAGUUUAUGUAGGUUUUUUUUUUUUAAUUUAAAAAAUUUUAUUUGUGCAAAUGGCAAUUAUUAUGUUUUUUAAAGUGCCUUUUUACUAGAUAAAAAUUAAGCUGUAAAAUACUUAAAUAACUAUACAUCUUAAGCCUACGGGUGGUAGCACCUUCCUAUAAUCCCACUGUUUGGAGGCUUAAAUGGGAAGAUUGUUGAGGCCAGGUGUUUGAGUCAGCCUGUCAACAUAGCUAUAUCAUGACUCAAAAAAGAAGGAGAAAAAAUGAAAGAAAAGAAAAAGAAAUACAUCUCUAAAAAGCAAAUUGGAUUUAUUUCAUAUUUUCAGUUUUACUGCAGUAGCAAUUGAAAUUUUUUCCAAGCAGGAGCUGUUAGGCAAUCUUUUAUUUGUUUGACUCUUGGAUACUAUGGUUAAGAAAAUGAUUUUAUGGGUAACAUGAAAAUGAACUAAUAAAAAAUGAGAUGUAAGGUGUGUUGAGCUUUUGCAGGGAGGUUGUAGAUUGAAUUCAGAGCCUCUUGCAUGCCAGGCGAGCACUACCACUGAGCUACACCCCCAGCCCUUUUAAAUUUUAUUUUGAGAUAGGUUUCCACUGAAUUGCUUAGGUUGGCCUCAAAUUUGUGUUUUUCCUAACUCAGCCUCAUAAAUAACUGGAAUUACAGGCAUAGGCUAGCUACCAUGCUGCCUAUGUUGAGCUUUUAGAAAUGGAUAUUUCCAGUUCCUCCAGAAGAGGGCGGUAGGUGUUUAAAAUGUUUAAAAUUUUUUCCUUCUUUAAUGUUGUUCAUAGAUUGGGAGUCCUCCUCUUGAUCCUACAGAGCAUUUUCUUCCUGAAGAAGAAAAACUUACCGAACAAGAGAGAUCAAAAAGGUUAGUAAAUUUAGAAAUCGCAGAUAUUUCCACAUAAAGUGACUAUUCAAAAAAAGCACAAUGUUUGCUACUUGAGGCAUUUAUCAAGGUUGCAGAGUGUGGAUUCUGAUGUGAAUAAAACUUCCAUUUGCCACUUACAAGUUAUGUGUAACAUAACUUUGAUCUAGUUCAUAUCUGAGACUCAGUUUCCUCAACUGUCAAGUAGAUACAAGAAUCAAACAUAACUCAAAGUGUUGGUGAAAGGAUCAAGAUAAAUAUAUAUGAAAUUUACUAAAUAAACUAUAAGCCAUUAUGAGAAUAUUAAUUUUUUUUUCACAGAUUUGAGAAGGUUUAUACUCAUAAUCUAUAUUACCUGGCUCAAGUCUACCAGCAUAUGGAAAUGUUUGAGAAGGCUGCUCAUUAUUGCCACAGCACACUAAAACGCCAGCUUGAGCAUAAUGCCUACCAUCCUAUGGAGUGGGCUAUUAAUGCUGCUACUUUAUCACAAUUUUAUAUUAAUAAGGUAAGCUUGAUAGUUAUCUAACAGACUAAUAGUGAGCAUAAAUGUAAAACCAAUAGUACACAUCUUUCAAAAACAGUUAGCUUGCAUUUUAUGUAUUUGUGGUACUGGGGAUCAAACCCAGGGCCUUGUACAUGGUAGGCAAGAAUGCUACCCCUGAGCCACAUCCCUAGCCCAGGUAGCUUACAUUUUAUGAUGUAAAAUUGGACAGAAAAAUACAGUCCUCUUUGCUAGUGUAUUAAAAUACUGUAGCUUUUGUUGCAUGAAUUUUUUUGAGUCUUAUAAAAUUAUGAGUUUUAUCAUUGUCUUUCAUGUUGCUAGCCCCCAAAAUAUGAGUUAUCUAAGACCAAUUUUUUAUAUAGGCAUUCUAUUUCAAUUCACUUUAAUGAUAUGUUACCUUAAAUUGCAGAUUUUAUCUUGUUAUAGAUAUAACUUUAUCUUUAUAAAAUGGUAAUCUUAUAACUAUGAGAAUUUGUCUGAGGAAGUUGACUGUUAAAUGUGGGCUUUGAUAAAAGCAUGUGAUACAUUUCGGUUAUUUUUUAGAAUUAACUCCUCUAUAAUAAUAUCUCUGCUGAGUUCCAGAGCUCCACGUUUUCUGACACACCUCUGGACUGUUACCCAGGGACAAAUUUAGACUUCUUAGUUGUUUUUCAGAAUUGCUCACAACCAUGUUGAUGUACUCUUAAUGGACCCUUUUCUUUUUUAGUCCUUAAAUUUCUAAUGCUAAAACACUUUUCCCAACCAGAUUUUUAUUCAUCCUCAAUAAAAUAUUUUAGUAAAAAUUACUUUUAUUUGUAUUUCUGAUUCAUAAGGCUCUCUGAAAUUUGGUAAUUCUCUGCUUAUCAGAGUUCCUUCCGUUCAUUUCUUUGGUUACCUGCUACCUUACCCUGGGGCCUUUAUCCUUUUUAAGAUUUUUGUUAGUGUUGGUUCUGAAAAUGCGCCCUAUGUUUAAAGUAUUGUCCCACAGAAUUUCAUUCAGAAAAACUAUUAGCAGGAGAGAAAGGGCUGUGGUGACUGCAGCAUCGCUUCUAGGACUUUGGUCUAAGAUCAAGUGUGUAAGUAACGCUACUGCAUAUAUAUCAGAGCAUUCAGCUAAACCUAAUUCUCAUGAAUCCAUCUCAUUGUGGACAUCAUCAAAAAGUGCCUCUGCUUGUGAGUCCUUUUGCAUAGCUAUUGAAGGCCCCUUGUUUGUUUUAUUUAGCAACUUUAAAAUUCUCACUAUGAUUUUAAUUAAUACUUAAAACUCCAUACAUAUUGAUAGUUCUAAGAUAUCUGGAUAUGAAUGUAAAGUAUGAUUGAAGAAUUUGAAGUUGCUAAGCAUUACUUACGUGGAGCAUGCAAUGAUUUCCAUGAGCACUUCUUUCACCCCACACUUUUGUUUUUUACCAAAGUGUUCUGUAAGUUUUUGUUACAACCAAGUUAUAUUUUAAAAAGAGGAUUUGAACCAUGUUUUAAAAUGCAGUUGUCAUUUGUGUCAUUGUCAUCUUCACCCAGUUCCAGUGAUGAGUAUUUGCUCUUCGGUGAGUCCCUACCUGGCAGGUGCUAAAGUCCCACAUUUACCAGCCAUCUGGAGGGCACAGGGCAUUCACUGAUCCUGGCAGUGAUUGCUUACAGGGAGCCAAUCUGGACAAAGCCAAAGUGAUAAUGAUGGCUAUAGAGGGGUAGUAGAGGGACAAUUAAAGUUUCUUUACGUAAAGAUUGUAACUUUCUUUUGGCUUUCAAGAUUUGACACCAACAUUUUGAUGUACAGAUGUUGCUGGGCUAAUAUUAUACAUGCUGCCCAACUGUUCCCAAGUUAUCUUCUGAGUUCACCAUAAUGGAGAGAUGAAUUUAAUGCUGAGGUUUUAAAGUCACAGCUAACCAUUAAAUGUCUUUCAUAUUUACAAAUAUGAAGUACAUGCUCUAUUUAAUGAUGGCGGCCUCCAACUAAGAGUUGGACUGUAUUAACUUUGUAUUUCUUCUGGGUGAGCUUGUGACUUACAUGACAAAUGCAGUGUUUACAUUAACAACAAAGUCUUUUUUAAAUGUUUGAGAAGAUUUUCAUGCCCAUAUUUGAAUUAUGAACUCUUUUAAGUGUUAAAGAGUUAUUAGUAAAGCAUUUCUCAACAGUUUAUUUGUCAAAAUCUAUUGACUUUAAAAUUUAAUGGGAAGCUUCAUUGUCUGUAAAUUACAAAGAUUUUAGGAGACAGGAAUCGCUUUCUAUCAGAAUAUCUGCUUUUUCCUUUGGAUUAUAGGAUGUAAAGGGAUCUCUAAAUCUAAUAAAAAUUAAAUCUUUAGUUCUCUGACAGAUGGUCAAUGUUCUAAGAAUUUAUUGUACCUGGAACUUUGGCUUUUUAGACUGAACCAAAAGGUCUUGCUGAGGUAGUUUGAGUCUAGGGUGAUAGCUGUCCCUAUAUAUAUGUACUGGUUAUGCGAGGAGAGCUAGUUUUUAAGCUGCAGUUAUCUUUCAGCCAGUUUGGGUUUUUAUUAAAGAGUUUGGGACAGUGCUACUUUAAUCUCUGAGGUAACUAUUUACUUGAUAAUACUAUAAUAUAUUUUUCAUACUUCUUAACAAUUAUACUGGACCUCCUCAGUGGUGGAUUUUACCUGAUAGUAUAGUUUUUCCCAUGUUAAAAAACUUUUGUAAGUAUCAGUUGCAAAUGAAACUAUACAAUAGUUAUAUUUGUUCUUAUUUAUUUUCCCAACAGCUAUGCUUUAUGGAGGCCAGGCACUGUUUAUCAGCUGCUAAUGUUAUUUUUGGUCAAAUUGGAAAGAUUCCAGCCACAGAAGAUAGUAAGUUUAUGUGUGCAUGUUUUAUUAUAGCUUCUUAAAAAUUAUUAUUUUGAAAUUAUUUUAAACUUUAGAAAAGUUACAAGAACAAAACAACCACCAUGUACUGCCUCUCCUAAAUUCACUAAUUUUAAUAUUAUAGUCCCAUUUUCCUUUUCUCUCUGAAACAUGUGAGGAGAUCACCUGCAUUAAAUUCCU
RNAcentral lists this long non-coding RNA (14855 nucleotides) under Marmota monax (woodchuck). The stretch from base 7487 to 7558 matches the Rfam family "tRNA". The record is from RNAcentral. Lineage: Eukaryota; Metazoa; Chordata; Mammalia; Rodentia; Sciuridae.